This 1679-nucleotide long non-coding RNA is filed under the name Chrysemys picta bellii (western painted turtle). RNAcentral describes it as "lncRNA (ENSCPBG00000016440.1)". Lineage: Eukaryota; Metazoa; Chordata; Testudines; Emydidae. The record is from RNAcentral.
GGUUCGCCUCACUGAUCUUACGGCCAGAAGGGACCGUUAUGACAAUCUGUUCUGGCUUCCUGCGUAACACAGGAAUCUCAGCCAGUGAUCUCUGCCUCCAGCCCAACUCCUUGUGGUUGAGCACGAGCGUGUCUUUUAGAAAGAGGCGUCCAAUCUUGAUGUAAAGUCACCAAGCGAUGGAAGAAACCACCGUGUCCCUCACUAGGUUUUUCCAAUGCUUAGUUUCCCUCCACGCGCUGGAGAAGUUCCCACGCCCCAUGGUAAAUUGUCUCAAUGGUUAUUCCCCUCGCUGUUAAAAAUGUGCAUCUUAUUUGCUGCCAGCCACUGCAUCUUAGUUGGCUUUUGUCUGCUGGGUUAAAGAGCAGAGCGGGGACGCUAAUGUACACAGCUGAUUGUCUGGGGAAAUGAUCAGUACCACGGUAUCUUACAGAGAUGCUAAAAUCUGGGCGGGCAGUUAACUGAUGGGGCUCCUAUGCACUGGAGGGCUGCAAAACAUGAACCUGGUUCCACAGCAGAUCGUAGCCAUAAGAAGCGAAUGAUUAUUCGAGUGUCUCGUUUCACUGAAGGAUUCGAAGUAACUGCACCACAGCUCACCAGAGCUGGAUACUGGAUAAACUCCCCACCCACUCAGCUUUUGCUUGGAUCCUUCCCUUUGCAAGACAUAGACGUCUCAUCCUGAAAGAGCCUCCCCUGCCUGAGAAGGAGACACGCAUGAAAUGUUAACAUGAAGUUCAGCAAAGGAACUUUAUUUUUUUCAGUGUAUUUGGAGAAUCACCAGAGGCAAUCUCCGGACUUUGCUACUGCAGAAGGCGCUCAAAAUUCCAGUUGCACCGACAACCUGCCGCAAACCCCAAACCACAGUUCACUGCCAUGAUCGGAACUGACCGCUCCUCUUGGAACGUAAGAGGGGCAGCUUGCGGAGACCACAGAUCUCUGGAUGCGCUGCUCCAUCUAGAUCCAACAUGCGGCCUGUGGAGACAACUCCACCUGCUCUGCAGUGCUCCUGAUCCGAGUGGUCACACUUUGCAACAUCCUCUGCUCAGAUCAAUAUGAAACAUCACAUUCCGGGAUCUGUUUUCUGAGCAGGCUACUCAUAGUUAACUGUUUGUAUGACAGUCACCCCUAGAGGCUGAGAGCACGGUGCCAUUGUGUGAGACACCGUACGUACACAUAGUGACAGAGUCCCUUCCUCAGAGCGCACAACCUAAAUAGACAAGGUCUGAGGGGGGAAACUGAGCAGAGGAACAGAGAGAUGAAGUGUUCACUGGGUCAGGGGUUCUCAACCUUUUUCUUUCUGUGGUCCCCCCAACAUGCUAUAAAAACUCCACGGCCCACCUGUGCCACAACAACUGUUUUUCUGCAUAUAAAAGUCAAGACCGGCAUUAGGGGGUAAUAAGCAGGGUAAUUGCCCACGGCCUCAUGCGGCCCUGCAAAGCUGAGUUGCUCAGACUUCAUCUUCAGCCCCAAGUGGCGGGGCUCAGGGCCCCAGUCUUCAGCCCCUUCGGCUUUCUGCCCUGGGCCCCAUUAACUCUAAUGCCAGCCCUGUUUGGCAGACCCCCCUGAAACCUGAUCGCGGCCCCCCAGGGGGCCCCAGACCCCUGGUUGAGAACCAUUGCACUAGGUCACACGACAGUAACACAGCUUAAAAGAGAAUCCAGGUCUCCUGACUCCCAGCCCAG